AUGCGUUUUUCUUCCUUAGUCAUGGACACAGCAGGUCUGACAGCCAAUGAUUAUCCCACUUCAUGACAUCAUUUCCUGUGUCUGCUUCCAUCCAUGAUCCAAUCCAUCAGAGUUACCAUUCAGAUCUAUUUAAGAACAUCUGAACUGACCAUUAUGUCACUUUCACGUGUAGGUGCUGUUUGCUAAUCCCCCCGUUCUCUGUUUCUCACAGUCAUCAUGUUUAUCUCAGCCCACCGCAGAUGAGCUGCACAUCCAUCUUCAAACACUUCAGCUCUGAGAGCAUCACGGAUGAGGAUGGGAGGAGAUCUUCAGCCAUGCGGCCCCCGCUCACGGAGUCUCAGAUGAGAUAAUCUGGCCAGAGGGUGAUGAAGCUUUACCUCCUGAAGCUCAAGAUCUCAUCUCCAAACUACUGAGGCAAAACCCUCUGGAGCAUCUGGGGACAGGGAGUGUGUUUGAAGUGAAACAACAGCACUUCUUCAGUGAUCUGGACUGGAACAGUCUCCUGAGGCAAAAAGCUGUGUUCAUCCCUCAGCUGGAGUCAGAAGAUGACACUAGCUAGUGCUACAUUGACAAUCGGUGUCAUCGUGUGGACACAAAUGAUGAUGAUCAUCUGGAGAUACUCUAUUCACCAUGUCCAGCAAAGAGGAUGGUGGGCAGAAAGCCCCCUGGAUUUAAAAAAGUUUUUGUUGUUGUUGGUUUUAUGCCCUACUGUGUGCUUGAUGACAAGUCAAGUGUCCAUUUUGUUUACAUGUACCCUCUAAUAACUACAUCACAUUUUACCCACUGUGCUUUUAUCAAAGAAAGGAAAACAUUGUAAUUAUGUGAAUGCAUUGAAUUCAUCUCUGUUUUUUUGCUAAAGUCGCAAGCCACCGGAGGCUAUGAAAGUGAGCACUAACUGCCUUCUCACAUACGUGAGGGGGUUGGUGAUGAUGUUUGGGCUAUUUGUUGAGGUGAAGUCAAGUGUCAGAAUGCCUGAGGUGGUUAUCCAUCAAUGUCCGGCAUCCACACCAUACACGCGCUAGUGAAAUGUAAUCUCACACACAUCGUCCAGAGCAAAUUCACCUGCUACCUCUCACCUCUGACACGAGCACAGUUCUUCACAAAUUAAAACCUUAGAGCACACACCCACCCACCUAUACACACUACUUAAAUCUACCCACUCUAAUAACAACAACCACUAUGUCCAACCACUGCCCUUUCAACACUUCUGUGUGUGUGUGUCGGAGGUGAAUGACAGUACAGAUGGCUCACUUUAUUGUAAAAUUUUUAACCCUUUCAUGCAUGGCAUCCACUAUAGUGGACAGCUAUUCAAAAAGCCAUUUCUUCAACCUCUACUGGCUAGGAGGGAGCAGGAUAAAACAGCCUGGUUAUUUCUUUGGGUUGAGGCUAGUGCUUGACAAUAUGUGCUACCUUGCCAGAUUUUGCUACCUCCCAUACAAAACAUAUACCCAAACACUAAACCCGACCCUCAAUUACAACAGCACAAAGGUCUACAAAGCAAAAGGGGGUCACACACCGAACGAGAAGUGCCAGGUCGAGUCGCGUCUAGGACAACUCGGAGGUAUCGUACACAGGAAGUGCACAUUUAAUAGUGCAAACUUAGUCAGAUAGCAUUUACUUCAAAGUGCAAAAAUUAGGUUAGCAGCCAAUGUUAAUCGUUAAUGAUUUGGGACAAAUAUGAUGCUAUUUAAUGUUAAACUAUGUGAGUGGCGCUGUGGCGCGACAGGGCUUUGAGCAAGUUUCUGAAUCAAAGCUCGGCGCAGCUGACAGGCGCCACCUUUCGACGCCGGUGUGCGUAUACUCAUAGAAAACAAUGUGUUUGAUUUUUUUUUAACGUCACGCCGCUGAGCUGCGCUUCCAGUGUGCGACCUCCUUAAAAGGUAGCAGAAACUGACACAAUAUUUUGUUGAUAUCAAUGAGAUAUUGAUAUCAACCGAAUGCUUUCGACACUAUACGUUCAUCAAAUACUUUCUCUUUAAAGGAAAACACCACCGUUCAAUAUUUUAUGUUCUUACUUCAACUUAGAUGAAUUAAUACAUACUUAUCUUUUUCAAUGAGUGCACUUAAUCUUUGUACAGCGUGUUGUGAAUGUGUUAGCAUUUAGCCUAGCCCCAUUCAUUCCUUAGGAUCCAAACAGGGAUGAAUUUAGAAGCCACCAAACACUUCCAUGUUUUCC
This is a non-coding RNA of Misgurnus anguillicaudatus (oriental weatherfish), 2176 nucleotides long. NCBI's taxonomy places the organism in Eukaryota, Metazoa, Chordata, Actinopteri, Cypriniformes, Cobitidae. The record is from RefSeq and is a predicted model, not a curated record.